This 57-nucleotide transfer RNA is filed under the name Rattus norvegicus (Norway rat). It matches the Rfam family "tRNA". Rfam says of the family: Transfer RNA (tRNA) molecules are approximately 80 nucleotides in length. Their secondary structure includes four short double-helical elements and three loops (D, anti-codon, and T loops). Further hydrogen bonds mediate the characteristic L-shaped molecular structure. tRNAs have two regions of fundamental functional importance: the anti-codon, which is responsible for specific mRNA codon recognition, and the 3' end, to which the tRNAs corresponding amino acid is attached (by aminoacyl-tRNA synthetases). tRNAs cope with the degeneracy of the genetic code in two manners: having more than one tRNA (with a specific anti-codon) for a particular amino acid; and 'wobble' base-pairing, i.e. permitting non-standard base-pairing at the 3rd anti-codon position. The record is from Rfam by way of RNAcentral. Lineage: Eukaryota; Metazoa; Chordata; Mammalia; Rodentia; Muridae.
GGGGAUUUAGCUCAGUGGUAGAGCGCUUGCCUAGGAAGCGCAAGGCUUCAGUCCCCA